UUAGCCCAAAGUACGUAGUUUUGGGUGGGUGAAAUUAAUGUACUGAGCGGUUAAUCCACAUUAACUCAAAAUAAGUUUAAAGUACCCACUACAUUGUCCGACAUUUUGUUUAAACUUUUGAGACGCGAGUGAAUUAUUUUGCGAAGGAAAAGUUGAUUUUUCUACGCGGUUCGUCGUCCUUCCUCGACUCCUUUGGCACAAGAUGACGGUAAAACAUCGGGAAAAAGAUUUGGCUUCCUCGGCCGGAGGAGUGCCUGAAUUUGCUGCCAGAAAAAAAAACACCAACAGGAGCUGUUACUGCAGAUUUCGCUGCUAUCAAUAUCAGAGUAUUCGGUAGAAAAACCAGAUUUUAGUCAUAUAAGCAGAUCCAUCAAAAACACCGAAAACCGUGCCGUCCGGGCAUUCCUGACGUGGAAUUGCUCAGGGUCAGGGGCAAAGAGGGACCGAGUCGAUUGGGAUACCAUCAUUAUGAAACAGAAAGAUAAGGAAUAUGACGGGAAUUGUGCAAAGUUAAGUGAAACAGUGAAAAUUGUA
This is a long non-coding RNA of Uranotaenia lowii, 534 nucleotides long. RefSeq lists it as uncharacterized. NCBI's taxonomy places the organism in Eukaryota, Metazoa, Arthropoda, Insecta, Diptera, Culicidae. The transcript has 3 exons. The record is from RefSeq and is a predicted model, not a curated record.